RNAcentral lists this ribosomal RNA (403 nucleotides) under uncultured bacterium. Its description in RNAcentral is "partial 16S ribosomal RNA". It matches the Rfam family "Bacterial small subunit ribosomal RNA", at positions 28 to 526 of the family's 1533-position model. The record is from RNAcentral.
GACGAACGCUGGCGGCGUGCCUAAUACAUGCAAGUCGAACGCAGUGGGGACGGGUGAUUAACACGUGGGUAACCUCCCAUCAGAGGGGAUAACACUUGGAAACAGGUGCUAAACCGCUACUGAUGGAUGGACACGCGGUGCAUUAGCUAGUUGGUGAGGUAACGGCUAACCAAGGCAACGAUGCAUAGCGGGCCUGAGAGGGUGACCGGCCACACUGGAACUGAGACACGGCCCAGACUCCUACGGGAGGCAGCAGUAGGGAAUCUUCGGCAAUGGGCGAAAGCCUGACCGAGCAACGCCGCGUGAGUGAAGAAGGUUUUCGGAUCGUAAAGCUCUGUUGUUAGAGAAGCGUUAUCUAACCAGAAAGCCACGGCUAACUACGUGCCAGCAGCCGCGGUAAUUC